This 301-nucleotide ribosomal RNA is filed under the name uncultured bacterium. RNAcentral describes it as "partial 16S ribosomal RNA". It matches the Rfam family "Bacterial small subunit ribosomal RNA", at positions 509 to 807 of the family's 1533-position model. The record is from RNAcentral.
CAGUCGCCACGGUAAUACGAAGGGGGCUAGCGUUGUUCGGAAUUACUGGGCGUAAAGCGCACGUAGGCGGAUAUUUAAGUCAGGGGUGAAAUCCCAGAGCUCAACUCUGGAACUGCCUUUGAUACUGGGUAUCUUGAGUAUGGAAGAGGUUAGUGGAAUUGCGAGUGUAGAGGUGAAAUUCGUAGAUAUUCGCAGGAACACCAGUGGCGAAGGCGGCUAACUGGUCCAUAACUGACGCUGAGGUGCGAAAGCGUGGGGAGCAAACAGGAUUAGAUACCCCGGUAGUCCCUGUCUCUUAUAC